AGACCCGAAACCCGGUGAUCUAGCCAUGGGCAGGUUGAAGGUUGGGUAACACUAACUGGAGGACCGAACCGACUAAUGUUGAAAAAUUAGCGGAUGACCUGUGGCUGGGGGUGAAAGGCCAAUCAAACCGGGAGAUAGCUGGUUCUCCCCGAAAGCUAUUUAGGUAGCGCCUCGUGAAUUCAUCUCCGGGGGUAGAGCACUGUUUCGGCUAGGGGGCCAUCCCGGCUUACCAACCCGAUGCAAACUGCGAAUACCGGAGAAUGUUAUCACGGGAGACACACGGCGGGUGCUAACGUCCGUCGUGAAGAGGGAAACAACCCAGACCGCCAGCUAAGGUCCCAAAGUCAUGGUUAAGUGGGAAACGAUGUGGGAAGGCCCAGACAGCCAGGAUGUUGGCUUAGAAGCAGCCAUCAUUUAAAGAAAGCGUAAUAGCUCACUGGUCGAGUCGGCCUGCGCGGAAGAUGUAACGGGGCUAAACCAUGCACCGAAGCUGCGGCAGCGAACGUAUCACCCAAGACAACUUUACGGAGUUGACGAUUGACGGAGCGAAGCGACGUCAAAGCGUUCAUUAAAGUCGAGUUGGCUUAGGGAUACGUUCGUUGGGUAGGGGAGCGUUCUGUAAGCCUGUGAAGGUGUGUCGUGAGGCAUGCUGGAGGUAUCAGAAGUGCGAAUGCUGACAUAAGUAACGAUAAAGCGGGUGAAAAGCCCGCUCGCCGGAAGACCAAGGGUUCCUGUCCAACGUUAAUCGGGGCAGGGUGAGUCGACCCCUAAGGCGAGGCCGAAAGGCGUAGUCGAUGGGAAACGGGUUAAUAUUCCCGUACUUGGUGUUACUGCGAAGGGGGGACGGAGAAGGCUAUGUUGGCCGGGCGACGGUUGUCCCGGUUUAAGGGUGUAGGUGUGUGUUCCAGGUAAAUCCGGUUCACUUUAACACUGAGGCGUGACGACGAGGCACUACGGUGCUGAAGCAACAAAUGCCCUGCUUCCAGGAAAAGCCUCUAAGCAUCAGGUAACACGAAAUCGUACCCCAAACCGACACAGGUGGUCAGGUAGAGAAUACCAAGGCGCUUGAGAGAACUCGGGUGAAGGAACUAGGCAAAAUGGUGCCGUAACUUCGGGAGAAGGCACGCUGACACGUAGGUGAAGUGAUUUACUCAUGGAGCUGAAGUCAGUCGAAGAUACCAGCUGGCUGCAACUGUUUAUUAAAAACACAGCACUGUGCAAACACGAAAGUGGACGUAUACGGUGUGACGCCUGCCCGGUGCCGGAAGGUUAAUUGAUGGGGUCAGCGCAAGCGAAGCUCCUGAUCGAAGCCCCGGUAAACGGCGGCCGUAACUAUAACGGUCCUAAGGUAGCGAAAUUCCUUGUCGGGUAAGUUCCGACCUGCACGAAUGGCGUAAUGAUGGCCAGGCUGUCUCCACCCGAGACUCAGUGAAAUUGAACUCGCUGUGAAGAUGCAGUGUACCCGCGGCAAGACGGAAAGACCCCGUGAACCUUUACUAUAGCUUGACACUGAACAUUGAGCCUUGAUGUGUAGGAUAGGUGGGAGGCUUUGAAGUGUGGACGCCAGUCUGCAUGGAGCCGACCUUGAAAUACCACCCUUUAAUGUUUGAUGUUCUAACGUGGACCCGUAAUCCGGGUUGCGGACAGUGUCUGGUGGGUAGUUUGACUGGGGCGGUCUCCUCCUAAAGAGUAACGGAGGAGCACGAAGGUUGGCUAAUCCUGGUCGGACAUCAGGAGGUUAGUGCAAUGGCAUAAGCCAGCUUGACUGCGAGCGUGACGGCGCGAGCAGGUGCGAAAGCAGGUCAUAGUGAUCCGGUGGUUCUGAAUGGAAGGGCCAUCGCUCAACGGAUAAAAGGUACUCCGGGGAUAACAGGCUGAUACCGCCCAAGAGUUCAUAUCGACGGCGGUGUUUGGCACCUCGAUGUCGGCUCAUCACAUCCUGGGGCUGAAGUAGGUCCCAAGGGUAUGGCUGUUCGCCAUUUAAAGUGGUACGCGAGCUGGGUUUAGAACGUCGUGAGACAGUUCGGUCCCUAUCUGCCGUGGGCGCUGGAGAACUGAGGGGGGCUGCUCCUAGUACGAGAGGACCGGAGUGGACGCAUCACUGGUGUUCGGGUUGUCAUGCCAAUGGCACUGCCCGGUAGCUAAAUGCGGAAGAGAUAAGUGCUGAAAGCAUCUAAGCACGAAACUUGCCCCGA
This 2195-nucleotide ribosomal RNA is filed under the name Salmonella enterica subsp. enterica serovar Typhimurium. RNAcentral describes it as "partial 23S ribosomal RNA". It matches the Rfam family "Bacterial large subunit ribosomal RNA", at positions 711 to 2802 of the family's 2925-position model. The record is from RNAcentral. Lineage: Bacteria; Pseudomonadati; Pseudomonadota; Gammaproteobacteria; Enterobacterales; Enterobacteriaceae.